Cyanistes caeruleus (blue tit) is the source of this 528-nucleotide non-coding RNA. The record is from RefSeq and is a predicted model, not a curated record. Lineage: Eukaryota; Metazoa; Chordata; Aves; Passeriformes; Paridae.
UCCAGCAGGAAGAGGGUCACAAGGAAGGGAAGAGCUUGUAUGGAGUUGCCAGAGGGAUACUUAUUACCUUUGGGAUUAUAAACUUCUAUUUUUUCCCCUCUGGAUUUCUGCCUUUUCCCCUGUGAUUUUUCACAUAAACUCUGAUUCUUUGGAUGGAGUCUCACCAGACCCAUUUAGAAUGGGCCUUUGAAGGAUGUUCCAAGUGAUGCAGUGAGACAACAAGCACAACAAGCUUUAAGGAGUACAAGCUCAGGACAGAGAAAAGGUUUCUUCGUGGCACUGUCAUUUCUGCCGUCCUCAUACCAAGGAGUUGACUGCACUACUUUAUGGCUUCCCUACCCUUCCAUCAACCUUGGGAUGUUUAUUUUUCUUCAAACAUAGCUGUUUGCAGCAUGCUAACAAGAACUGAAGAUCUUUUAACACUGCUAUUUGUUUACUGAAGACAUCAAAGCCUUUUUUUCCACGAGCCCCCUUUGAGCCGGUACAAUCUGCAAGCAGCCGUGCAACACCGAGCUCCCCAAACCAUCU